RNAcentral lists this unclassified non-coding RNA (308 nucleotides) under Hevea brasiliensis (rubber tree). The record is from RNAcentral. Lineage: Eukaryota; Viridiplantae; Streptophyta; Magnoliopsida; Malpighiales; Euphorbiaceae.
GCUGCGGCGCUGAUGUGCAGCUUCUUCAUGAAAAAGGAACUCAGGAGAAGAGGGCAAUUUAUAUAGGUUGUGAGCAGGGACGUUGUAGAGAUCCUGAUAUGGGUGAUACUUGUAGUAUUUCUGAUCGUUUGAAUCAUCCAUUACUGAACUGAUUUUUAAUAGAGGAAGAUUGGCAGGCUCGAAUGGUAGGGUUCUUUGGGAGACGAAGCUGGAUUUUUGGGGGAUUUGGUUUCUAUGAUGCGUCAAAACUGGAAAAGUCUGCAAACAACGAGAAGAGCCGAGAGGGAGACUUCGGGGAAGAAGUCAUA